UUUAUGGAGAGUUUGAUCCUGGCUCAGGAUGAACGCUGGCGGCGUGCCUAAUACAUGCAAGUCGAGCGAACGGACGAGAAGCUUGCUUCUCUGAUGUUAGCGGCGGACGGGUGAGUAACACGUGGAUAACCUACCUAUAAGACUGGGAUAACUUCGGGAAACCGGAGCUAAUACCGGAUAAUAUUUUGAACCGCAUGGUUCAAAAGUGAAAGACGGUCUUGCUGUCACUUAUAGAUGGAUCCGCGCUGCAUUAGCUAGUUGGUAAGGUAACGGCUUACCAAGGCAACGAUGCAUAGCCGACCUGAGAGGGUGAUCGGCCACACUGGAACUGAGACACGGUCCAGACUCCUACGGGAGGCAGCAGUAGGGAAUCUUCCGCAAUGGGCGAAAGCCUGACGGAGCAACGCCGCGUGAGUGAUGAAGGCCUUUGGAUCGUAAAACUCUGUUAUUAGGGAAGAACAUAUGUGUAAGUAACUGUGCACAUCUUGACGGUACCUAAUCAGAAAGCCACGGCUAACUACGUGCCAGCAGCCGCGGUAAUACGUAGGUGGCAAGCGUUAUCCGGAAUUAUUGGGCGUAAAGCGCGCGUAGGCGGUUUUUUAAGUCUGAUGUGAAAGCCCACGGCUCAACCGUGGAGGGUCAUUGGAAACUGGAAAACUUGAGUGCAGAAGAGGAAAGUGGAAUUCCAUGUGUAGCGGUGAAAUGCGCAGAGAUAUGGAGGAACACCAGUGGCGAAGGCGACUUUCUGGUCUGUAACUGACGCUGAUGUGCGAAAGCGUGGGGAUCAAACAGGAUUAGAUACCCUGGUAGUCCACGCCGUAAACGAUGAGUGCUAAGUGUUAGGGGGUUUCCGCCCCUUAGUGCUGCAGCUAACGCAUUAAGCACUCCGCCUGGGGAGUACGACCGCAAGGUUGAAACUCAAAGGAAUUGACGGGGACCCGCACAAGCGGUGGAGCAUGUGGUUUAAUUCGAAGCAACGCGAAGAACCUUACCAAAUCUUGACAUCCUUUGACAACUCUAGAGAUAGAGCCUUCCCCUUCGGGGGACAAAGUGACAGGUGGUGCAUGGUUGUCGUCAGCUCGUGUCGUGAGAUGUUGGGUUAAGUCCCGCAACGAGCGCAACCCUUAAGCUUAGUUGCCAUCAUUAAGUUGGGCACUCUAAGUUGACUGCCGGUGACAAACCGGAGGAAGGUGGGGAUGACGUCAAAUCAUCAUGCCCCUUAUGAUUUGGGCUACACACGUGCUACAAUGGACAAUACAAAGGGCAGCGAAACCGCGAGGUCAAGCAAAUCCCAUAAAGUUGUUCUCAGUUCGGAUUGUAGUCUGCAACUCGACUACAUGAAGCUGGAAUCGCUAGUAAUCGUAGAUCAGCAUGCUACGGUGAAUACGUUCCCGGGUCUUGUACACACCGCCCGUCACACCACGAGAGUUUGUAACACCCGAAGCCGGUGGAGUAACCUUUUAGGAGCUAGCCGUCGAAGGUGGGACAAAUGAUUGGGGUGAAGUCGUAACAAGGUAGCCGUAUCGGAAGGUGCGGCUGGAUCACCUCCUUU
RNAcentral lists this ribosomal RNA (1552 nucleotides) under Staphylococcus aureus. Its description in RNAcentral is "16S ribosomal RNA". It matches the Rfam family "Bacterial small subunit ribosomal RNA". The record is from RNAcentral. Lineage: Bacteria; Bacillati; Bacillota; Bacilli; Caryophanales; Staphylococcaceae.